GACGAACGCUGGCGGCGUGCUUAACACAUGCAAGUCGAACGGAAAGGCCCUGCUUUUGUGGGGUGCUCGAGUGGCGAACGGGUGAGUAACACGUGAGUAACCUGCCCUUGACUUUGGGAUAACUUCAGGAAACUGGGGCUAAUACCGGAUAGGAGCUCCUGCUGCAUGGUGGGGGUUGGAAAGUUUCGGCGGUUGGGGAUGGACUCGCGGCUUAUCAGCUUGUUGGUGGGGUAGUGGCUUACCAAGGCUUUGACGGGUAGCCGGCCUGAGAGGGUGACCGGCCACAUUGGGACUGAGAUACGGCCCAGACUCCUACGGGAGGCAGCAGUGGGGAAUAUUGCACAAUGGGCGGAAGCCUGAUGCAGCAACGCCGCGUGCGGGAUGACGGCCUUCGGGUUGUAAACCGCUUUCGCCUGUGACGAAGCGUGAGUGACGGUAAUGGGUAAAGAAGCACCGGCUAACUACGUGCCAGCAGCCGCGGUGAUACGUAGGGUGCGAGCGUUGUCCGGAUUUAUUGGGCGUAAAGGGCUCGUAGGUGGUUGAUCGCGUCGGAAGUGUAAUCUUGGGGCUUAACCCUGAGCGUGCUUUCGAUACGGGUUGACUUGAGGAAGGUAGGGGAGAAUGGAAUUCCUGGUGGAGCGGUGGAAUGCGCAGAUAUCAGGAGGAACACCAGUGGCGAAGGCGGUUCUCUGGGCCUUUCCUGACGCUGAGGAGCGAAAGCGUGGGGAGCGAACAGGCUUAGAUACCCUGGUAGUCCACGCUGUAAACGGUGGGUGCUAGGUGUGGGGUCCAUUCCACGGGUUCCGUGCCGUAGCUAACGCUUUAAGUACCCCGCCUGGGGAGUACGGCCGCAAGGCUAAAACUCAAAGGAAUUGACGGGGCCCCGCACAAGCGGCGGAGCAUGCGGAUUAAUUCGAUGCAACGCGUAGAACCUUACCUGGGUUUGACAUGGAUCGGGAGUGCUCAGAGAUGGGUGUGCCUCUUUUGGGGUCGGUUCACAGGUGGUGCAUGCCUGUCGUCAGCUCGUGUCGUGAGAUGUUGGGUUAAGUCCCGCAACGAGCGCAACCCUUGUUCACUGUUGCCAGCACGUUAUGGUGGGGACUCAGUGGAGACCGCCGGGGUCAACUCGGAGGAGGGUGGGGAUGACGUCAAGUCAUCAUGCCCCUUAUGUCCAGGGCUUCACGCAUGCUACAAUGGCUGGUACAGAGAGUGGCGAGCCUGUGAGGGUGAGCGAAUCUCGGAAAGCCGGUCUCAGUUCGGAUUGGGGUCUGCAACUCGACCUCAUGAAGUCGGAGUCGCUAGUAAUCGCAGAUCAGCAACGCUGCGGUGAAUACGUUCCCGGGGC
This 1345-nucleotide ribosomal RNA is filed under the name uncultured bacterium. RNAcentral's name for it is "partial 16S ribosomal RNA". It matches the Rfam family "Bacterial small subunit ribosomal RNA", at positions 28 to 1380 of the family's 1533-position model. The record is from RNAcentral.